RNAcentral lists this ribosomal RNA (468 nucleotides) under uncultured bacterium. RNAcentral describes it as "partial 16S ribosomal RNA". It matches the Rfam family "Bacterial small subunit ribosomal RNA", at positions 28 to 507 of the family's 1533-position model. The record is from RNAcentral.
GACGAACGCUGGCGGCGUGCUUAACACAUGCAAGUCGAACGGAAAGUCCCUGCUUUUGUGUGGUGCUCGUGUGGCGAACGGGGGAGUAACACGUGAGUGAGCUGCCCUUGACUUUGGGAUAACUUCAGGAAACUGGUGCUAAUACCGGAUAGGAGCUCCUGCUGCAUGAUCGUGGUUGGAAAGUGUCGGCUGUGUGAGAUGUACUCGCGGCUUAGCAGCUUGUUGGUCGGGUAGUGGCUUACCAAGGCUUUGACGGGUAGCCGGCCUGAGGAGGUGAACGGGCACAUUGGGACUGAGAUACGGACCAGACUCCUACGGGAGGCAGCAGUGGGGAAUAUUGCACAAUGGGCGGAAGCCUGAGGCAGAAACGCCGCGAGCGGGAUGACGGCCUUCGGGUUAUAAACGGGUUUCACCUGUGACGAAGCGUGAGUGACGGUAAUGGGUAAAGAAGCACCGGCUAACUACGUG